Molecule: ribosomal RNA, 496 nt
Filed under: uncultured bacterium
Lineage: Bacteria
Description: partial 16S ribosomal RNA
Rfam family: Bacterial small subunit ribosomal RNA
Source: RNAcentral
GAUGAACGCUGGCGGCGUGCCUAAUACAUGCAAGUCGAGCGAACGGACGAGAAGCUUGCUUCUCUGAUGUUAGCGGCGGACGGGUGAGUAACACGUGGAUAACCUACCUAUAAGACUGGGAUAACUUCGGGAAACCGGAGCUAAUACCGGAUGAUAUUUUGAACCGCAUGGUUCAAAAGUGAAAGACGGUCUUGCUGUCACUUAUAGAUGGAUCCGCGCUGCAUUAGCUAGUUGGUAAGGUAACGGCUUACCAAGGCAACGAUGCAUAGCCGACCUGAGAGGGGGACCGCCCAAACGGGACCUAGAAAAGGUCCCAGCCCCCUACGGGAGGCAGCAGUGGGAAUACUUCCGCAAGGGGCGAAAGCCUGACGAGGCAACGCGCGUGGGUGGAUGAAGGCCUUCGGUUCGUAAAACUCUGUUAUUAGGGAAAAACAUAGGUGUAAGUAACUGUGCACAUCUGGAGGGAACCAAAUCAGAAAGCCCCGCCUAACUACGU